GGUUUGCGACGUUGCAGACUCACUGUCAUACUUUAUUUCUUAAACGGAAAACUACUCAAUGAGGCUGUGCAAUCGGCAGAGGGUAAAAUUUGUUUGAAUCAUCCGCAACUGAUGAUAUUCACAAUCAUCUGUCUGUUCCUGCACUCAGCUGCCCCCCAUCUUUUCAAGCACAGCGUUUUGAUAGCAUGUUAAGUAGAAAACCUCUUUUCAUUCCUCAGACUUUUUCUCUAUUUUCUAAACUGCAAGAAACAAAAUUACAGAAUACUCUCCUGUUCAAAAGUACAAGUCUAACAAGGAAACAACCCACAAAUAUUACUGUAAUUAUUGUUAAUUACUCCACGUACUGACAUUUCUAACGAUUCUUCAUUAAGUCAAUUGUAGACUCAAUAGAAGUGUUGAGCAAACACCAUAUCAAGUGUCUGCUGUAAAUAACUACAUAUUGGAAUGCAUCUUUGCAGUCAGCAUUCUGCCUUCCCCUUACAAUUGUUGGCGACACCUUUGCAGGAAUAAAACCCUUGUUUUAGGAUCCUAAUUAACUUUUUACAUACACAUUUUGGCCCAUUCAAUUUUGGAAUGUCGACUUUUUUAGGCGCCACAAUGGCCCAGUCCUGUAAUUCUAAGCUUUGCCUGUAGAAGGCAGAGCACUGUCUUCACUUGGAAAAUACAAUUACAAUUUCUUUUCCUAAGGAAAGUAUCUUAUGUGUUCACAGAAGCUGCAUAGUUGGCGAACUAUGGAUAAUCCCGCAAUCAUGAUAUGUGUAUUUAAAUCUUCAACGUUGUGUGUUAAACUCGUCUACCUCUAGUGAUGCUCAACAUUGUUUAUCUAAUGAUCAGUUUUUGUCACAUCACUUAUCAAGAGUGUGUCACCAUUGCCUUCAUAUGUAGUAAUAUUUGAUUGUGUUGUAAAAUGAAAAUGAAAUCUUAUCAAUUAAAGCCUUCAAAAAUCUUGCUCAUA
Non-coding RNA from Bemisia tabaci, 955 nucleotides. The record is from RefSeq and is a predicted model, not a curated record. Lineage: Eukaryota; Metazoa; Arthropoda; Insecta; Hemiptera; Aleyrodidae.